Zingiber officinale is the source of this 283-nucleotide long non-coding RNA. RefSeq lists it as uncharacterized. The record is from RefSeq and is a predicted model, not a curated record. The transcript has 2 exons. Lineage: Eukaryota; Viridiplantae; Streptophyta; Magnoliopsida; Zingiberales; Zingiberaceae.
GAUGGUUCAAGUGAAUCCUUUAUUAUUGGUGUGGACUCAUCGAGGUGAGGGUGUCUACUAGGAUGUGACAGAAGGCAUGUGGACGGAGUAGGCGAGGAGGUGAGAUGGACGCAUGACAUUGUCAGGAUAUUUAGGAGUGCAGAGCAAACUCUUUCCAUUGUGAGAGGUUCUUCAUUUGUUUAGGGAGAGAUUUGAAAAUUCAUUGUUCCUUUGUUUUGUUAAACACUUGUUUGGGAUACUGUCAUUUACAUUGGGUAAGAUAGAUCAUUUUGAUGUAAUUGCA